GGCGCCGGGCCGAUGGUGCAGGGUUAUCGACUUCAACUCGAGAGGUUGCGGGUUCGAGUCCCGCCAGUCCCC
Molecule: transfer RNA, 72 nt
Filed under: bacterium JGI 053
Lineage: Bacteria
Description: tRNA_Opal_TCA
Rfam family: tRNA
About the family: Transfer RNA (tRNA) molecules are approximately 80 nucleotides in length. Their secondary structure includes four short double-helical elements and three loops (D, anti-codon, and T loops).
Source: RNAcentral